This 433-nucleotide ribosomal RNA is filed under the name uncultured bacterium. RNAcentral describes it as "partial 16S ribosomal RNA". It matches the Rfam family "Bacterial small subunit ribosomal RNA", at positions 29 to 507 of the family's 1533-position model. The record is from RNAcentral.
AACGAACGCUGGCGGCAUGCCUAACACAUGCAAGUCGAACGAGACCUUCGGGUCUAGUGGCGCACGGGUGCGUAACGCGUGGGAACCUGCCCUUAGGUUCGGAAUAACUCCCCGAAAGGGGUGCUAAUACCGGAUAAUGCCUUCGGACCAAAGAUUUAUCGCCUUUGGAUGGGCCCGCGUUGGAUUAGCUAGUUGGUAGGGUAAAAGCCUACCAAGGCGACGAUCCAUAGCCGGUCUGAGAGGAUGAUCAGCCACACUGGGACUGAGACACGGCCCAGACUCCUACGGGAGGCAGCAGUGGGGAAUAUUGGACAAUGGGCGAAAGCCUGAUCCAGCAAUGCCGCGUGAGUGAUGAAGGCCUUAGGGUUGUAAAGCUCUUUUACCCGGGAUGAUAAUGACAGUACCGGGAGAAUAAGCUCCGGCUAACUCCGUG